This 273-nucleotide long non-coding RNA is filed under the name Physcomitrium patens. Its description in RNAcentral is "long non-coding RNA (PPAT_LNC004334)". Lineage: Eukaryota; Viridiplantae; Streptophyta; Bryopsida; Funariales; Funariaceae. The record is from RNAcentral.
UCCAAUUUUUGUAUUUAUGAGCAAAACUCAACCUUGCAAGAACAUGUCUUUUGGCAAGUAGAGGCUUCUUUUGUUACACACAAGCACCCAAACCAGCUUCUCUCAAACCACGCCUCAAGGUGAUGUCUCAGAAGUGUUUACCUAUUUUUUCUCGAAGUUGUUUUGCAGCUGCAUUUGCCGUUUUGAGACAACCACCAGUGACAAGGUGCACACCAAGUCGCUUCUCUUGCUCUCCUAAAACCUUUGGAUGUCCUCCUCUUUGCUUUUCUAUUU